UGCGAAGAAUACACUUUUCAACAAGACUGCAAACCCUUAAAAUUAAUAACAUUUCUGCAAUUAUUUAACCAUUUUUAUGAAAUAUUUAUUUUGUUUGCCGUGGGACAUAAACGCCAUUUUCUCCAACAUGCUGUGACUGAAAAAUAGAACCAUAAACACACCAAAAACGCAACAUAAUAACAUCAGUCAGUUUUAUUUGUGCUUUGUAAUCCAAGUCUUCUGAAUUCAUACAACUGCGAGUAACAAAUCCAAAUUCUACCCUUUAUUCAGCGAUCUUCAUUCAUCUUCAGCAACGACCGUAUAAACAUCAAAGCCUGCACUGAUUCGUUCGUCCAAAUUCAAAAUUUACCACUUCAAUUAACUACGGCACUAAAAUCGAACGCUCAUUGGUCCUCGCCUGCUUCGUCACAGAUUGCGACAGCAGUGUUCCUGUCGAGGUGUUUGAAUGAUGCGCGCUUUCACAAAGUGAAUCAGGAGGAUAGUCUGGGUAAUAUUUUUAGCGAUUAAAAACUUAAAUUGUGCUCUGUACCUCACACCAAACUAUUGUAUUUCACCUGCGGUGGCAACGCAGCAUCAUUUGGACUAGUUUUGACCUGGCCAUGUACCCUGCCCUCUUCAUACAGGUUGUCAUGAUGUAAUUACAGAAGGCAGCCGAAGAACAACUUGGGGCACCUCCUGAAAACAGAGACAGUGACUCACACACACGCGCACACACACACAGACACUAAAUAUAUAAUUAAUAUAAAUCAAUAUGUUCUUGUUACUGUUUCCCAUUAUUUGGACACAUUUUGAUGCUUUACUGUGGAAAUUGUCAUAUCAAUAAAGCCAAUUUGAAAAUAAUUGAAUUGACUGAUAGUUUCCUGUAAUGUGUUACUAAAGGUUCUAAAAACAUUCAGUAAAUGUGAAGGAAGGACCUAAAUAGGACCAAAAAAACAUUUUAGGUUCGUCCUGCAAAUGUUAUGGGAAUGUAGUGUAGAGACUAAUAGGGGACUUCCUAUAGAAAUAACCUAAACGUCCCAA
Molecule: long non-coding RNA, 1020 nt
Organism: Labeo rohita (rohu)
Lineage: Eukaryota; Metazoa; Chordata; Actinopteri; Cypriniformes; Cyprinidae
Exons: 3
Source: RefSeq, a predicted model, not a curated record